UAUUUUUGUGCCUAAGAAUUAUGUGAAGUGAUGGAGUUUUAAAUUUCAGUUAUGUGCCUUUGUGGGCUAUUUUUUCUGUUAGUUUUAUUAUUAUUUUGUACCAAUAAUAAAAUAUAAUUUUUAAUAAUCCUUUAAUUAGUUGAUAUAUUAUUAUGAUUUAUUAUUUAUAUGUAUAGUUAAUUAUUAUUCUUUUAAAAGUAAAAAUAAAACUAAAAAUAAAAAUAAGAACAUUCACCCCCACUUCCCAUACCC
RNAcentral lists this long non-coding RNA (252 nucleotides) under Solanum tuberosum (potato). RNAcentral's name for it is "long non-coding RNA (STUB_LNC010217)". The record is from RNAcentral. Lineage: Eukaryota; Viridiplantae; Streptophyta; Magnoliopsida; Solanales; Solanaceae.